Molecule: long non-coding RNA, 4227 nt
Organism: Taeniopygia guttata (zebra finch)
Lineage: Eukaryota; Metazoa; Chordata; Aves; Passeriformes; Estrildidae
Source: Ensembl
AUUCCCAUAUUGCAAGCAAAAUUAUCCAAUUUACCCACAACUAUAAGAUGUUUAUAAAGGAAAAAAAUAAAACACAAAAUCAUGAUUUUUUUUCCCCUUUUUCAUUAAUUGCAAGCAUUUGAGCCAUUGAAACAUUCCUAAGGAUAUAGUUCAGCAAAAUGAAUUUUGGUACAAUUUUAAAAAAGUCUUUGACACCUCUUUUAAGAAUUAUGCAAGAAUUUCCAGAGAAUGUGACCUUAUCAAAUGGCAUAAAAGGCUGUUUUAAUUGUGUGGAUAUAUUAGAGAAAUAAACUAGUAUGCUAGCAUUUAUAUAAUAGUAUUCAUACAUUUGAGUACAUUAGGACAUCUCAGCUCAGAUAUCCUGGAAGGAGAAAGAGCCUAGCUAUCUAGGAAAGUGACAUUAGCACCUAUUUAAGCACCUGUUAUCCAGGAAAGCCAGUGGGAUGUUUGGCAGAACAUCAACAUCUCCACACUUUCUGUUUCUCAGGUUGGGCAGUGCUUAUUCACAGCCCAAUAUUAACUUCUGCAACCUGAACUCUCCAGUAAAAUUGUGACCAGUGGAGUUCUGCUACUGAACUAAUGAGCACUCAGACACUCUGCUAGAGGAGUCAUUUCCCUUGGCAGCUGUGUGUGAGGGUGACAACAGCACAUGUGCAGGAUCUGGAAAGAACAAGGCUGUGAACCUGCAGGAAAAGCACCAAAGUGCAGCCAAGCUGUGUUGUGCCAAUAUUUCAGGAAGCUGUCUCUGUGGGAUAAAGGUUCUCACCUCUCUUGGUAUUUUGUGUUGAUUCUCUUUCCAUAACCAGGAACAUGGAAAAUUGUUGCUGCUGUUUUUCAACACUUCAAAGAAAAUGUUUGCUUCAGGCAGAUUUUUACUUUUGGCUUGUCCUGGCUAGUAUUUUAACAGUUCUGAGAAAAUGAAAAAUAUACAUCCUGAUUUCAUUAUCAUUGCUGUGCAGGGAUUCCUUCCACUAUUAGUAUGGAUACAGCAUACCACUUCAAAGCUCUAGACAUCUCAUAUAAUCUUCUGUUUCCUUUACUCCUGCCCUGGACAAAAGGAUAGAUUAUUUUAAUUUCUUCUAUUUUUGAUGGUGUGCUGUUCCUAGAUACUACAGUAGAAAUUUUUUUGUGACUUCCAUUUACAUUUAACUUAUCAUACUUACUUGUCAUAAGUAGCAAUUCUUAUAAACCUGUGGAAUGAAAUUGUUUUUUAGAGAUUGCCUUUAAGUUUGGGGCGAUUAUUAUUAUUAUUAUUAUUAUUAUUAUUAUUAUUAUUAUUAUUAUUAUUAUAUCAUCACAUGAUUAUUAUUAUUAUCUAGGUUUACACAUGAAGGCUAGAUGGAUAUGUAUUAAAACAAUUUAUUAGAUUUUCCUUUUUUUUUUUUUUACUUACAGCCUUAGAAGUCAGUUAUAAAUUGUAUGUAUUAGCAUGGUGAAUAAAUGAAUGUAAAACUAAAUAUGAAAUAUAUGUAUAUAUACUAUGCAUUUCCCUUCAGGUCACAAACAUCAGAAUUAAUUAUUUUCCCUGUAUAUUUCAUCCUUCCAGUGUCCUGAAAUGACAGCCUUGGUUCCUAGCCAGGGUUUUGAAGCAAGCAAAUGAAUUCCAGGAGUAUAAGGUAAGUAGCUCUUUUGUAUUCCUGGAUUACUUUUGAUCCCUACAGUUCAACAAGAACUUAUAGACCAUGCAAUCCAUUGCCAGAAAAUUUCUAUAGUCAGAGAGUUUAUUAUCUAUUCCCAUCUCAGCUCCUGUGAAAAAUCAAUGAAAGGAAGAUUUAAAAUCCCAAAAUUGUGCGUGACAGCUAUACUUAUGUGCCUACAUUAGAAUUAUUUAUUAUUAGGAUCAGGUGGGUUUGAAACCAAGAGAAAGAGAAAGGGAGGAAGAGAAUAGGGUGGGGUUUUUAAGUGCUUUCAGGUGACUUAAAUAUUUGAAUUUAUUUUUAAAUAUUUAAAUUCAUUUAAAUUUAAUUAAACUUGUGCUUCUCUUUCUGGUAGUCCCAGAGGGUACUCACCCAUUUGGAAACUAUUAAAUAUGUGACUAUUAAAAAUGUCAGUAUGUUGCAGCUCCUAUUUUAUCUAAGACAGCUGAGACUUUGGUACUGUGCUCUGUCAUGAACACCUGCAAUGCUGCAGAAAAAGGUGCAAAACUCAAGAACGUUUUCUUUGUCAUUAGCUUUCAAGAAAACCCCUUCCUGGUCUCUGGAAAAACACCUUGGACUGUUUUGUAUUCACAAAUCUUCUUCAUAUGUUGUAGGAUCAUCUGAUUAAAAUCUAAUUCCUUUCACUGCUCUCAAGUGAUGCCCUAAACGUGAAUUCUCAAUGUUCCUCUGCUGGACUGGGUACUUUGUUAUCCUUUGUACAACAAAAUGCUGAUAACUCUGCCCUUGAUCCUGCAAAACACUUAAAUUCAUGCUCAAACUUACCUGCACAUGUGCCUUGAUGCACAGCAGCCAAUGCUCAGCAGUUUUCAGGUCCCUUAGGUGGGGGGAAUAGUUUUGAAAUAUUCUGUGAGAACUCCACAAACGAGAAUUCCUUCAAGCAGACCAAUGCAGAGGAAAAUAUUUCUGUUGGUUUUUCACUUCUUUUUAUCCUUGGGCAGGAAGGAAAUGGAGUGGAAAUAUAAUAAAACGCCUGAUGCAGAAACAACAUUUCUAUUCCUUACUGACAUAGCAAACUUAGGACACAGAUUCAGUUAAUAAAGUAUCCUGCACUGUGAUCUUCUCCUUCUGACUAUACUCAGAUUCAUCCCAUAGCUAUAUGAGAAGCAGGGAACUGUAAGAACUGUAAGAAUAUCAUAAAAGGAGAAUUCACACAUACAAUUUUUCUUUGCCAUCUUAUCUAGGCCAAAAAAAUUGGUACCCUUUACAAGAGGACUGGAUAAUUGUUUUAGACAUGCUCAGAAAUGUGACUCUUUCCUCUGAUUCUGGAUAAGAAAAUAUGCAAACAAACCUGAUAUACACAUUUAUAUGAUGUACAGUGAAACUUGCAAGAAUAGAUAUUAUGGAAGAAAAUUAUAAAAUAGAUUAUGGAGAUAUAUUAGUCAGACAUUAUUUAGGAAUGCACUAAUUUACUGCCUUAGAAAAUGUAUUUGAAUAAGAGACAUAUUCUUUUCCAUCUACUGUGUGCAGAAAUAGAUAAUUUUGUCCAGUUUCAUUGUAGGAGGUGCUUACUCUCACAGUCAUAUACAUAGGCAUGUACUAACAGAAUUUCAUAUUAAUCUUUGCCUCUCUUUUCUCCCAGGGUAGAAUUAUUGACUGUGAGAUUUUCCUUUGAUAUUGUUUUUUUGAUAUUGUUUUUUUUAAUGAAGUAGAGGUUGCUUCACUCAUUUAAUUAGUAAAGUACAUAUAUUUAUUUUUCUUGUUUGGUAACCUUGUUUUAAAACUAACAAAUGUAAGAAAUUUUUUUUCACAACCAAGGUAGGCAGAGAUGAGGUACUAAUUUGAAGACCUUAAUAUUACACACAGUGGCAGACAGCAUUUAGUAUUAAGGGCUGUAGUUGCCCAAAUCAAUUAUAAUAAUGUGCCUAUUAUCCAAAUAGAUACUUAAAACCCAUUUAUACUAUGUUAAUAAUAUUUAAUUACUCACUGUAGCUACAAAAUCACUUAGAAACUGUAGUAGUGCCUAAAAGCCCAGUGUGAGUUGAGAAAUCAUCACUUAAUUCUAGUGCUUGAUGAUCACAUGCCUUCUAGAGGUUUGUAAGGUUUCUGCAGAUUGUGGCUUUCACCAGUGAAAUCCCAGUGCAAUUAAGAUUUUAAAGUGCAGAGCAGUGAGGUGCUCCACAUCUGAAUGUUUUAUUUCCACCUGCUUAGUAUUUGGUGUCAAACUGGCAUGUAUUCAAAAGGUUUCUGUGAAGGCAGUAUGAUGAUCCUACUGCAACCCCUCAGCCUUUCAGCUACUGACUUGAUAGUCUGGGGUGCCAGAAACUCAGCUACAUUUCCUUCCCUUCGUGAGGCAGCUUCACUCUGUGGAUUUCCCUAUCUCCCUCUGCAGCAGAAUGGCCUUAGCUCCUCUUGCUGUUGCAUUUUGUACAUGGUAAUUGCACAGUCAUCAGACAGAGAGACUCACCAUGUUCAUCACUUCCUCAGGCAUUAGGCAGGACAUGAGAAUUACGUGGUGACAGCAAGCCACAGUGCCAGGAAUGAAUCAUGCAUCUUAGCAACUCUGCAUCAACAAGGAAUCCAAUGGCAGAGUAUGUCCUUCUCGUCCCAUCAGCAUCCAGAUGCCUACAGA